UGCUCUUAACUGCAACAAGGCGUACAAUAAUCCAAACAUUAGGAAAGUAUUUGUAGCCAAGUAUAUAACACAAGCCUAGCCAAGUAUACAACUCAAGUCUUCAAAUAAAAUAAAAUAAAAAAACAACUAGGAAAGUACUUGUGCAAAUGCCAAGGCAAGAAGUUAGAUCAAAAUAAAAAAAAUACAGAGCAUGCAAAAGCCUCGACAAAAAUACUCUUAGUGAUGAGACGUCAUGGUAACUAUGAAGACUGACUUAUUAAGAACGUCUAGAAAGUCUAUAAAAGUGACUUGAAAAUGAACAAACAUAGUACAGAA
Molecule: long non-coding RNA, 315 nt
Organism: Rhodamnia argentea
Lineage: Eukaryota; Viridiplantae; Streptophyta; Magnoliopsida; Myrtales; Myrtaceae
Exons: 2
Source: RefSeq, a predicted model, not a curated record